GCGCGGAAAAAGAGGAGGGGAGGGGGAAAGGGUAAAAGAAGAUCUUUACAGCUCUCACGACCUUCUCUGCGCACAAGUAAACCACCCACGAGAGAGAAACCCACCCAGAAAGAACUCUCACUACCAGCCAGGGCCGCUGCAGAGCGCCGCCCUCGAACAAACUCCGCCGCCGGGCGCUCAAAACGGCCAGGUUCUCCGCCACCGAUAGAACUCUCCCGACGAAUCUUCACCCCUAUCUGUGCCGACGAUGCUCGCCCUCUUCCCUCCAGGCCGGGUCCGGCGGCGGAAGCUGGUAUUCGUCCGGGGUCAGCGCCGGCACGAAGUCGGGCAGCGGGGGCGCCGCCUUCUCCGGACACCUGCGCCAGUAAAACACAUCAGAGGGUGACGUACGACCCGGCACGACGAGGUAUGGUAAUCGGAGAUCGAUUGAUCGGCAAAACGAUUUGAUUCCAGGAGUCAGAAAAGCCAUCACAGGAAACCAGCAAGAAGAUAGAGUAUUAUAUCCUCUAAUCCUUCAUUUUCCUCGCGUUCUCAUCAUCAUAUCACUCAUUCGAUCUAUAUGAAUGCAUAUGUACUGCUUUAGAACAGGUUAUAUAUUGUUCACGGGGCUUACUUUUGGAGAAUAUGGAGGCCCGGGGCAGUAUGCAACGUAUGUGAAGCAUCCUCAGUGAUUUUCUCAGCCAAACGCUUCAUAAACGGCAACGGAGGAGGCGACCUGCAGGAUCAAUAGCAUGCUUACCUCCUAAGAUAUGUAGAAGAACAACAAUGUCUGACUUAGGAAAAUGGGAAAUUUUUGCUAGCUAGCUGGGUCGUAGAGAUUUAUUUCCCUAAAUGUGAGGGAAUAGUCAGACCACCAUAUGAAGACGGUUUAUGAUCUGGGUUUCUCUUCCUUAUUAAG
Molecule: long non-coding RNA, 898 nt
Filed under: Spirodela polyrhiza (greater duckweed)
Lineage: Eukaryota; Viridiplantae; Streptophyta; Magnoliopsida; Alismatales; Araceae
Description: long non-coding RNA (SPOL_LNC000172)
Source: RNAcentral